RNAcentral lists this transfer RNA (74 nucleotides) under Deltaproteobacteria bacterium. Its description in RNAcentral is "tRNA-Pro". It matches the Rfam family "tRNA". From Rfam's summary of the family: Transfer RNA (tRNA) molecules are approximately 80 nucleotides in length. Their secondary structure includes four short double-helical elements and three loops (D, anti-codon, and T loops). Further hydrogen bonds mediate the characteristic L-shaped molecular structure. tRNAs have two regions of fundamental functional importance: the anti-codon, which is responsible for specific mRNA codon recognition, and the 3' end, to which the tRNAs corresponding amino acid is attached (by aminoacyl-tRNA synthetases). tRNAs cope with the degeneracy of the genetic code in two manners: having more than one tRNA (with a specific anti-codon) for a particular amino acid; and 'wobble' base-pairing, i.e. permitting non-standard base-pairing at the 3rd anti-codon position. Lineage: Bacteria; Pseudomonadati; Myxococcota; Myxococcia. The record is from RNAcentral.
CGGGGUGUAGCUCAGCCUGGUAGAGCGUUCGUUUCGGGUGCGAAAGGCCGUUGGUUCGAAUCCAAUCACCCCGA